CUGCAGUUUUUGUGGCGGACGGUUUUGUGGCCGAAAAUCGGUUCCAUUCAAUUGAAUGAGGCAGCAAGCGCAUGGAUUCCUGCAAGCCCCAUUAUGGUGAAUGAAACUGAUUUUCAGUCGUGGAAUUUUCUGCCGUGUGUGAAGGCGCCCU
Bufo bufo (common toad) is the source of this 151-nucleotide long non-coding RNA. RefSeq lists it as uncharacterized. The transcript is spliced from 3 exons. The record is from RefSeq and is a predicted model, not a curated record. Lineage: Eukaryota; Metazoa; Chordata; Amphibia; Anura; Bufonidae.